This 65-nucleotide transfer RNA is filed under the name Scaphoideus maai. Its description in RNAcentral is "tRNA-Ile". The record is from RNAcentral. Lineage: Eukaryota; Metazoa; Arthropoda; Insecta; Hemiptera; Cicadellidae.
AAUAAGAUGCCUGAAUAAAGGAUUAUUAUGAUAGAAUAAAUUAUGUAUUUUAUAUACUCUUAUUG